UCCCGUGUGGCUCAGUUGGUAGAGCAUGGUGUUUGCAACGCCAGGUUUGUAGGUUCAAUUCCCAUGGGGG
Molecule: transfer RNA, 70 nt
Filed under: Salmo salar (Atlantic salmon)
Lineage: Eukaryota; Metazoa; Chordata; Actinopteri; Salmoniformes; Salmonidae
Rfam family: tRNA
About the family: Transfer RNA (tRNA) molecules are approximately 80 nucleotides in length. Their secondary structure includes four short double-helical elements and three loops (D, anti-codon, and T loops).
Source: Rfam by way of RNAcentral